GACGAACGCUGGCGGCGUGCUUAACACAUGCAAGUCGAACGGAAAGGCCCUGCUCUUGCGGGGUGCACGAGUGGCGAACGGGUGAGUAACACGUGAGUAACAUGCCCUUGACUUUGGGAUAACUCCAGGGAACUCGGGCUAAUACCGGAUAGGAUCUCUUGCUGCACGGUGGGGGUUGGAAAGUGUCGGCUGUUGGGGAUAGACUGGCUGCUUAUCGGCUUGAUGGUGGGGUAGUGGAUUCCGAAGGCUUCGACGGGUAGCCGGCAUGAGAGGGUGACCGGGCACAUGAGUACUGAGAGAGGGCCCAGACUGGAACGGGAGGCAGUAGUGGAGAGUAUGACACAAUGGGGGGGCGCGUGAUGUGACGGCGCCGCGUGCGGGAUGACGGCUUUCGGGUUAUAAACAGCUUUCGACUGUGCCGAGGAGUGAGUGACGGUAAUGGGUCAAGAAGCCCCGGCUAACUACGUG
Molecule: ribosomal RNA, 468 nt
Filed under: uncultured bacterium
Lineage: Bacteria
Description: partial 16S ribosomal RNA
Rfam family: Bacterial small subunit ribosomal RNA
Source: RNAcentral